This 301-nucleotide ribosomal RNA is filed under the name uncultured bacterium. Its description in RNAcentral is "partial 16S ribosomal RNA". It matches the Rfam family "Bacterial small subunit ribosomal RNA", at positions 509 to 808 of the family's 1533-position model. The record is from RNAcentral.
CAGUCGCCGCGGGAAUACGGAGGGUGCAAGCGUUAAUCGGAAUUAUUGGGCGUAAAGCGCGCGCAGGCGGAUCAGUUAGUCUGUCUUAAAAGUUCGGGGCUUAACCCCGUGAUGGGAUGGAAACUGCUGAUCUAGAGUAUCGGAGAGGAAAGUGGAAUUCCUAGUGUAGCGGUGAAAUGCGUAGAUAUUAGGAAGAACACCAGUGGCGAAGGCGACUUUCUGGACGAAAACUGACGCCGAGGCGCGAAAGCCAGGGGAGCGAACGGGAUUAGAUACCCCCGUAGUCCCUGUCUCUUAUACC